This 639-nucleotide ribosomal RNA is filed under the name fungal endophyte. RNAcentral's name for it is "eukaryotic LSU rRNA". The stretch from base 166 to 319 matches the Rfam family "5.8S ribosomal RNA". Lineage: Eukaryota; Fungi. The record is from RNAcentral.
CAUUAAAGAUUCGGGUUUCGGCCCACCCCCUCUUCAGCUGUGCGCUUCGGCUGCACGCUGUUGAAACUCUCACACCUGUGCACACCAUUCGGUUGCGGUGGGUAAAACCGCCGCUUCCGCUACACAUAUUACAACAGUCCAGAAUGUAUAAAACCAUAAUAUAACAACUUUCAACAACGGAUCUCUUGGCUCUCGCAUCGAUGAAGAACGCAGCGAAAUGCGAUAAGUAAUGUGAAUUGCAGAAUUCAGUGAAUCAUCGAAUCUUUGAACGCAUCUUGCGCUCCAUGGUAUUCCGUGGAGCAUGCCUGUUCGAGUGUCACGUCAACCCUCGCCCUCGCGAUGUCAAAGUCGCUUGCGGUGGAUUUGGACCGUGCCGUAGUUGGCUCGUCCUGAAAUGCAUUAGCUUGCGCUUUUAGAGUGCUGGGCACCGGUGUGAUAAUUAUCUGCGCCAACGCCAUUAGCCUCUUCAGCGGCGCUGCUUACAGCCGUCCUGACGGACAACGUAUCAAAGCUUUGGCCUCGAAUCAGGUAGGACUACCCGCUGAACUUAAGCAUAUCAAUAAGCGGAGGAAAAGAAACUAACAAGGAUUCCCCUAGUAACGGCGAGUGAAGAGGGAAGAGCUCAAAUUUGAAAUCUGG